GGGUUGUCAUGCCAAUGGCACUGCCCGGUAGCUAAAUGCGGAAGAGAUAAGUGCUGAAAGCAUCUAAGCACGAAACUUGCCCCGAGAUGAGUUCUCCCUGAGACUUUAAGUCUCCUGAAGGAACGUUAAAGACGACGACGUUGAUAGGCCGGGUGUGUAAGCGCAGCGAUGCGUUGAGCUAACCGGUACUAAUGAACCGUGAGGCUUAACCUUACAACGCCGAAG
RNAcentral lists this ribosomal RNA (225 nucleotides) under Klebsiella pneumoniae. Its description in RNAcentral is "partial 23S ribosomal RNA". It matches the Rfam family "Bacterial large subunit ribosomal RNA", at positions 2718 to 2925 of the family's 2925-position model. The record is from RNAcentral. Lineage: Bacteria; Pseudomonadati; Pseudomonadota; Gammaproteobacteria; Enterobacterales; Enterobacteriaceae.